RNAcentral lists this ribosomal RNA (462 nucleotides) under uncultured bacterium. RNAcentral's name for it is "bacterial SSU rRNA". It matches the Rfam family "Bacterial small subunit ribosomal RNA", at positions 1040 to 1498 of the family's 1533-position model. The record is from RNAcentral.
GCUGCAUGGCUGUCGUCAGCUCGUGCCGUGAGGUGUUGGGUCAGUCCCGCAACGAGCGCAACCCUCGCCCUUUGUUGCCAUCGGGUAAAGCCGGGCACUCUAAGGGGACUGCCAGCGACAAGUUGGAGGAAGGAGAGGAUGACGUCAAGUCAUCAUGGCCUUUAUGCCUAGGGCCACACACGUGCAACAAUGGCCGGUACAGACGGAGGCAAUGCCGAGAGGCGGAGCAAACCCGAGAAAACCGGUCCCAGUUCGGAUUGAGGUCUGCAACUCGACCUCAUGAAGUCGGAAUCGCUAGUAAUCGCAUAUCAGAACGAUGCGGUGAAUACGUUCCCGGGCCUUGUACACACCGCCCGUCACACCACGAAAGUUUGUUGUACCCGAAGUCGGUGCCUUAACCUCGCAAGAGGAGAGAGCCGCCCAAGGUAUGGCCGAUGAUUGGGGUGAAGUCGUAACAAGGUA